This 400-nucleotide ribosomal RNA is filed under the name uncultured bacterium. RNAcentral's name for it is "bacterial SSU rRNA". It matches the Rfam family "Bacterial small subunit ribosomal RNA", at positions 355 to 753 of the family's 1533-position model. The record is from RNAcentral.
UGAGGAAUUUUGCGCAAUGGGCGAAAGCCUGACGCAGCGACGCCGCGUGGGGGAAGAAGGCCUUCGGGUUGUAAACCCCUUUCGUGAGGAAAAAAGUCCCCCGAGAAAUCGGGGGAUGAUGGUACCUCAGGAAGAAGCCACGGCUAACUCUGUGCCAGCAGCCGCGGUAAGACAGAGGUGGCAAGCGUUGUUCGGAUUUACUGGGCUUAAAGCGCGUGUAGGCGUCCUUAUAAGUCAGAUGUGGAAGCCUUGGGCUCAACCCGAGAAUUGCAUUUGAAACUAUAAGGAUUGAGUCGUGUACGGGAGGGUGGAAUUCCUGGUGUAGCGGUGAAAUGCGUAGAUAUCAGGAGGAAGGCCAGUGGCGAAGGUGGCCCUCUAUGCAAUGACUGACGCUGAGGCG